Molecule: non-coding RNA, 102 nt
Organism: Mucidula mucida
Lineage: Eukaryota; Fungi; Basidiomycota; Agaricomycetes; Agaricales; Physalacriaceae
Source: the annotation of a GenBank genome assembly
ACACUGACGGUGAAGUGGUAUCAUGCUUGCUAGUUAUCUUCCGUGAACAUUUGGCAUGAGCGAUUCAGACAAGCGGCAGAGGUUCGACUCCUCUUCAGUGUA